CCUACGGGUGGCUGCAGUGGGGAAUAUUGGGCAAUGGGCGCAAGCCUGACCCAGCAACGCCGCGUGAAGGCAGAAGGCUUUCGGGUUGUAAACUUCUUUUCUGAGGGACGAAGAAGGUGACGGUACCUCCGGAAUAAGCCACGGCUAACUACGUGCCAGCAGCCUCGGUAAUACGUAGGUGGCAAGCGUUAUCCGGAUUUAUUGGGUUUAAAGGGCGUGUAGGCGGGAAAGGAAGUCAGAUGUGAAAACUCAGGGCUCAACCCUGAGACUGCAGUUGAAACUGUUUUUCUUGAGUGCUGGAGAGGAAAUCGGAAUUCCGGGUGUAGCGGUGAAAUGCGUAGAUAUAAGGAGGAACACCAGUGGCGAAGGCGGAUUGCUGGACAGUAACUGACGCUGAGGCGCGAAAGCGUGGGGAGCAAACAGGAUUAGAUACCCGAGUAGUC
Molecule: ribosomal RNA, 443 nt
Filed under: uncultured bacterium
Lineage: Bacteria
Description: partial 16S ribosomal RNA
Rfam family: Bacterial small subunit ribosomal RNA
Source: RNAcentral